RNAcentral lists this ribosomal RNA (560 nucleotides) under uncultured Alphaproteobacteria bacterium. Its description in RNAcentral is "bacterial SSU rRNA". It matches the Rfam family "Bacterial small subunit ribosomal RNA", at positions 338 to 916 of the family's 1533-position model. Lineage: Bacteria; Pseudomonadati; Pseudomonadota; Alphaproteobacteria. The record is from RNAcentral.
CCUACGGGAGGCAGCAGUGGGGAAUCUUAGACAAUGGGCGCAAGCCUGAUCUAGCCAUGCCGCGUGAGUGACGAAGGCCUUAGGGUCGUAAAGCUCUUUCGCCAGGGAUGAUAAUGACAGUACCUGGUAAAGAAACCCCGGCUAACUCCGUGCCAGCAGCCGCGGUAAUACGGAGGGGGUUAGCGUUGUUCGGAAUUACUGGGCGUAAAGCGCGCGUAGGCGGACUAUUAAGUUAGGGGUGAAAUCCCGGGGCUCAACCCCGGAACUGCCUCUAAUACUGGUAGUCUUGAGUUCGAGAGAGGUGAGUGGAAUUCCGAGUGUAGAGGUGAAAUUCGUAGAUAUUCGGAGGAACACCAGUGGCGAAGGCGGCUCACUGGCUCGAUACUGACGCUGAGGUGCGAAAGUGUGGGGAGCAAACAGGAUUAGAUACCCUGGUAGUCCACACCGUAAACGAUGAAUGCCAGACGUCGGCAAGCAUGCUUGUCGGUGUCACACCUAACGGAUUAAGCAUUCCGCCUGGGGAGUACGGUCGCAAGAUUAAAACUCAAAKGAAUUGACGG